RNAcentral lists this ribosomal RNA (253 nucleotides) under uncultured archaeon. Its description in RNAcentral is "partial 16S ribosomal RNA". It matches the Rfam family "Archaeal small subunit ribosomal RNA", at positions 474 to 726 of the family's 1478-position model. The record is from RNAcentral.
CCCUAGCGGUCCAAGUCGCAGCCAUCAUUAUUGGGUAUAAAACAUCCGUAGCUUGCUUAAUAAGUUCCUUGUGAAAUCUUAUAUCUUAAGUAUAAGGCGUGCAAGGGAUACUGCUAGGCUAGAGACUGGAAGACGUAAGAAGUAUGUUCAAAGUAGCGGUAAAAUGUGUUAAUCUUGAGCAGACUCACAACAGCGAAGGCAUCUUACGAGGACAGUUCUGACAGUAAAGGAUGAAGGCUAGGGGCGCAAAGUG